CAAAACGUACUCCAACCAAAGUGUCUAACUCUUACGUAGCGAGAAUUGGCGCUGGUAGCAGCUUUUCAUUUUGUAUUAACUUUUACCAACUGGCCAACCAAAUAGUCGUUUGGGCUCUGUCCCGUGAGGCCAUUUGAUUCAAUUUUAUGCAUUUCUCUUUCUUCAACUACUGUUGCUUUAUUUAUUAUUUAUUUUAGGAUCAAGUCAACUACAAUAAAUCCCCCAAAUUAUGCGGUCAUUAGGCCAUCUUUAGUCAUGGGCUAAAUAUAGUUAUAAAAUAAUGCAAAACUCAUCUCUAGUCACAGGCUAAAAAAAUAUAUGGCCAAAUUUAGAGGACCACCUUUAGCCCCUUAGCCCUCCCACUAGGCAACUUAUAGCCCAG
Molecule: long non-coding RNA, 382 nt
Filed under: Prunus persica (peach)
Lineage: Eukaryota; Viridiplantae; Streptophyta; Magnoliopsida; Rosales; Rosaceae
Description: long non-coding RNA (PPER_LNC008563)
Source: RNAcentral